AUUGAACGCUGGCGGAAUGCUUUACACAUGCAAGUCGAGCGGCAGCACGGGGGCAACCCUGGUGGCGAGCGGCGAACGGGUGAGUAACACAUCGGAACAUGCCCAGUCGUGGGGGAUAACACUUCGAAAGAAGUGCUAAUACCGCAUACGUCCUGAGGGAGAAAGCGGGGGAUCGCAAGACCUCGCGCGAUUGGAGUGGCCGAUGUCAGAUUAGCUAGUUGGUGGGGUAAAGGCCUACCAAGGCAACGAUCUGUAGCUGGUCUGAGAGGAUGAUCAGCCACACUGGGACUGAGACACGGCCCAGACUCCUACGGGAGGCAGCAGUGGGGAAUUUUGGACAAUGGGGGCAACCCUGAUCCAGCAAUUCCGCGUGAGUGAAGAAGGCCUUCGGGUUGUAAAGCUCUUUCGGCAGGAACGAAACGGUGAGCUCUAACAUAGCUUGCUAAUGACGGUACCUGAAGAAGAAGCACCGGCUAACUACGUG
This 484-nucleotide ribosomal RNA is filed under the name uncultured bacterium. Its description in RNAcentral is "partial 16S ribosomal RNA". It matches the Rfam family "Bacterial small subunit ribosomal RNA", at positions 30 to 507 of the family's 1533-position model. The record is from RNAcentral.